Long non-coding RNA from Camelus dromedarius (Arabian camel), 629 nucleotides. RefSeq lists it as uncharacterized. Lineage: Eukaryota; Metazoa; Chordata; Mammalia; Artiodactyla; Camelidae. The record is from RefSeq and is a predicted model, not a curated record. The transcript is spliced from 4 exons.
UCAUGUUCUCAAGCCCUGCACUGAUGCUCAUGGAGGAGUCCUGGGGGUGUGAUGGGCAGAUCGUGGCAAUGAGGAAGGGGAAUGUUUGCAGAGUCCUCACCAGGAAAGGGGUAAAAAGAGCUAAGCGCCCAAGAACAAAACGAAGCCAGGAAGGACAUGAUAUUGGACCAGAAGAGUUCAGAACACGACAGAGGCGUCCUCGCUAAUCCACACAGCCGCCCUCCGAGGUCAUGGCUUCAGGGAGGUCCAGCCACUCGGCAGCUGAGAAUAUCUUUGCCUGCCAGGGCUGUGUGUGCCCUGAUGAAACCACAGUGUUCGCAGUAGCGUCGGGGAUGAGAAGGGCAAGUCUCAACGAGGCACGACAUCCAGGGCUCCUGCUGGCAUUCACCACGCAGUGAUCAGCCGGACCUGGCCCGCAUCUCUGUCUCCAGGAGGGACGUUGUGACCUGACCCACAUGGACAGCUUCAAGAACAAAGGAUUCUGACACCAAGAAUUUUGCAACAACCAACCAUUACUCCUUCCCUUUUUAGUAUAAAAAGAAGCCUGAAUUCUGACUCGGCUCUCCAGGACAUUAGUCUGCCGUCUUCUUGGUCUGCUGUCUUUCUGAAUAAAGUUGUUAUUCCUUGCC